GAAGGAGGCACGUCACUUCCUGUUUCUUUAGGGGAACGUGGCUUUCCCCGCAGCGCCUGUCUUCCCUUCUGCGUCUGUACUGCAGCGGCCGGAACUGGAGUCGGACCCCGAGCGCAGCCUCGCCAUGGACUCGGCCCUUAGCGACCCGCAUAAUGGCAGCGCCGAGGCAGGCAGCCCAGCCAACGGCACGACGCGGCCGCCUUCCACGCCCGAGGGCAUCGCGCUGGCCUACGGCAGCCUCCUACUCAUGGCGCUGCUGCCCAUCUUCUUCGGCGCCCUGCGUUCCGUGCGCUGCGCCCGCGGCAAGAACGCCUCGGACAUGCCCGAGACAAUCACCAGCCGGGAUGCUGCCCGCUUCCCCAUCAUCGCCAGCUGCACGCUCUUGGGACUCUACCUCUUUUUCAAAGUUUAUUUUCCCAAUAAAAGUUACACAGGCUCAGUGUUGAAAACCUGGAAAACACAGAAAAGUAAAAAGGGGAAAACAGCAGUCAUCCAAAACCUCACUACCAGAGACAAUCACAGAUUCCCUUUUGAGAUAUUCUCCCAGGAGUACAUCAACCUCUUGCUGUCCAUGUAUUUCUUCGUGCUGGGAAUCCUGGCCCUGUCCCACACCAUCAGCCCCUUCAUGAAUAAGUUUUUUCCAGCCAAUUUCCCAAAUCGACAGUACCAGCUGCUCUUCACACAGGGCUCUGGGGAGAACAAAGAAGGUGGGAGGGGCAGCCCCGCCCCGGGGAGUGGACUUACCCGGCCUCUCUGCCCAGAGAUCAUCAAUUAUGAGUUUGACACCAAGGACCUGGUGUGCCUGGGCCUGAGCAGUGUCGUCGGCGUCUGGUACCUGCUAAGGAAGCACUGGAUUGCCAACAACCUCUUUGGCCUGGCCUUCUCCCUUAACGGAGUGGAGCUCCUGCACCUGAACAACGUCAGCACGGGGUGCAUCCUGCUGGGCGGCCUCUUCAUCUACGAUGUCUUCUGGGUAUUUGGCACCAACGUGAUGGUGACAGUGGCCAGGUCCUUUGAGGCACCAAUAAAAUUGGUAUUUCCCCAGGAUCUGCUGGAGAAGGGCCUCGAAGCAGACAACUUUGCCAUGCUGGGACUUGGCGACAUCGUCAUUCCAGGGAUCUUCAUCGCCUUGCUGCUGCGUUUUGACAUCAGCUUGAAGAAGAACACUCACACCUACUUCUACACCAGCUUUGCAGCCUACAUUUUUGGCCUGGGCCUUACCAUCUUCAUCAUGCACAUCUUCAAGCACGCCCAGCCUGCCCUCCUAUACCUGGUCCCCGCCUGUAUUGGCUUUCCCGUCCUGGUGGCACUGGCCAAGGGAGAAGUGACAGAGAUGUUCAGCUACGAGUCCUCGGCGGAAAUCCUGCCUCAUACCCCGAGGCUCACCCACUUCCCCACGGUCUCGGGCUCCCCAGCCAGCCUGGCCGACUCCAUGCAGCAGAAGCUAGCUGGCCCUCGCCGCCGGCGCCCGCAGAAUCCCAGCGCCAUGUAAUGCCCAGCGGGUACUCACCUGCCCGCUUCCCCCCACUGCCCCGAGGCCAAAGUUAUGAGGAGUCAAAUCCUAAGGAUCCAGCAGCCGCGACAGAAUCCAAAGAGGGAACAGAGGCCUCAACAUCAAAGGGGCUGGAGAAGAAGGAGAAAUGAUGCGUCUGGUACCAGACCUUCCGAGGGCCGGACCAGGCGGGUGGGCAUGGACCAGCACAGGCCUGCACGUGCAGAGGGCACCAGAGGCCUGGCAGCUGCAGAGAGGGGCAGGAGCAGAGGGAUCCCACCAAUGAGGCCUCUGUGGCCUGGUUCCCUCUCCCACUUCUCUGGCCUUCCUCUGCCCCUCCCCAUCCCUUGCAGGCAAAGGAAGCCUCCAACUUCCCCCACUCCCCCAGGUGCCAGGUGGGAAAGUGGGUCUGAUUUUUAGAUUUUUGUAUUGUGGACUGACUUUGCUUCACAUUAAAAACUCAUCCCAUUGCCCGGGCAGGCUGCUA
RNA transcript from Pteropus alecto (black flying fox), 1979 nucleotides. It is a transcript of the gene named histocompatibility minor 13, with no coding region annotated. The transcript has 14 exons. The record is from RefSeq and is a predicted model, not a curated record. NCBI's taxonomy places the organism in Eukaryota, Metazoa, Chordata, Mammalia, Chiroptera, Pteropodidae.